CACUGUAUGUGUUUACCACUAUGACUGGGUAGGUCCCCACUGUAUGUGUUUACCACUAUGACAGGGUAGGUCCCCACUAUGUGUUAACCACUAUGACAGGGUAGGUCCCCACUAUGUGUUUACCACUAUGACAGGGUAGGUCCCCACUGUAAGCCUAAUAUUAAAGUAGUCUCGAGGUAUUGCUCGCCCGAGGUAGAGUACCUCAUGAUAAGCUGUAGACCACACUGUCUACCAAGAGCGUUCUCAUCGCCGUCUACAAACCGUUGCUGGUGCUAAGACCGCACUCCGUAGCCGAUGUGAGCAAGACCUUUAAACAGGCCGCGGGGCCAGACGGGUUACCAGGACGUGGACUCGGCGCAUGCGUGGACCAACUGGCAAGUGUCUUCACUGACAUUUUCAACCUCUACCUGACUGAGUCUGUAAUACCUACAAGUUUCAAGCACACUACCAUCGUCCCUGUGCCCAAGAAAGCGAAGGUAACCUGCCUAAAUGAUUACCACCCUGUAGCCAUGAAAUGCUUUGAAAGGCUCACAUCAACACCAUCAUCCCAGAAACCCUAGACCCACUCCACAGUGCCCUUUCCCACCUGGACAAAAGGAACCCCUAUGUGAGAAUGUUGUUCAUUGACUACAGCUCAGCGUUCAACACCAUAGUGCCCUCACAGCUCAUCACUACGCUAAGGAC
Long non-coding RNA from Oncorhynchus tshawytscha (Chinook salmon), 684 nucleotides. NCBI's taxonomy places the organism in Eukaryota, Metazoa, Chordata, Actinopteri, Salmoniformes, Salmonidae. The record is from Ensembl.